CCAGGCAAUUUUAGAGAGAAGGUCACACCUGUUCCCAUUCCGAACACAGCAGUUAAGCUUCUCAUCGCCGAUAGUACUGCAACCUGAGUUGUGGGAGUGUAGGACGUUGCCUGGA
Molecule: ribosomal RNA, 115 nt
Filed under: Candidatus Peregrinibacteria bacterium
Lineage: Bacteria; Candidatus Peregrinibacteriota
Source: RNAcentral